RNAcentral lists this ribosomal RNA (253 nucleotides) under uncultured bacterium. RNAcentral's name for it is "partial 16S ribosomal RNA". It matches the Rfam family "Bacterial small subunit ribosomal RNA", at positions 524 to 776 of the family's 1533-position model. The record is from RNAcentral.
UACGGAGGGGGCUAGCGUUGUUCGGAAUUAUUGGGCGUAAAGGGCGCGUAGGCGGCCGAAUAAGUCUGACGUGAAAUCCCACGGCCCAACCGUGGAACUGCGUUUGAUACUGGAAGGCUUGAAUCCGGGAGAGGGAUGCGGAAUUCCAGGUGUAGCGGUGAAAUGCGUAGAUAUCUGGAGGAACACCGGUGGCGAAGGCGGCAUCCUGGACCGGCAUUGACGCUGAGGCGCGAAAGCCAGGGGAGCAAACGGG